GAUGAACGCUAGCGGCAGGCCUAACACAUGCAAGUCGAGGGGUAACUAGAGUGAUAGCAAUAUUACUUUGGCUAGACCGGCGCACGGGUGCGUAACACGUAUGCAACCUACCUUAUACUGGGGAAUAACUUCGAGAAAUCGGCGCUAAUACCCCAUAACACUGCGGAGAGGCAUCUCUUUGCAGUUAAAGCUCCGGCGGUAUAAGAUGGGCAUGCGUCCAAUUAGCUAGUUGGUGAGGUAACGGCUCACCAAGGCUGCGAUUGGUAGGGGUUCUGAGAGGAUGAUCCCCCACACUGGUACUGAGACACGGACCAGACUCCUACGGGAGGCAGCAGUGAGGAAUAUUGCGCAAUGGACGAAAGUCUGACGCAGCCAUGCCGCGUGCAGGAUGACGGCCCUAUGGGUUGUAAACUGCUUUUGUACGGGAAUAAACCUCUUUACGUGUAGAGAGCUGAAGGUACCAAAUGAAUAAGCACCGGCUAACUCCGUGCCAGCCGCCGCAGUAA
RNAcentral lists this ribosomal RNA (506 nucleotides) under uncultured bacterium. Its description in RNAcentral is "partial 16S ribosomal RNA". It matches the Rfam family "Bacterial small subunit ribosomal RNA", at positions 28 to 523 of the family's 1533-position model. The record is from RNAcentral.